RNAcentral lists this ribosomal RNA (498 nucleotides) under uncultured bacterium. RNAcentral describes it as "bacterial SSU rRNA". It matches the Rfam family "Bacterial small subunit ribosomal RNA", at positions 28 to 506 of the family's 1533-position model. The record is from RNAcentral.
GACGAACGCUGGCGGCGUGCCUAAUGCAUGCAAGUCGAGCGGGCUACGAUCUUCGGAUUGUAGCUUAGCGGCGAACGGGUGAGUAACACGUAGGUGAUCUACCCUUCAGAGGAGGACAACCUCAGGAAACUGAGGCUAAACCUUCAUACGUUCACUGGUAGGGAUACUGGUGAAGAAAGAGUUACCUUAGUGGUAGCUGCUGAAGGAUGAGCCUGCGGCCCAUCAGGUAGUUGGUGAGGUAACGGCUCACCAAGCCGAAGACGGGUAACCGGUCUGAGAGGAUGUCCGGUCACACUGGGACUGAGACACGGCCCAGACUCCUACGGGAGGCAGCAGUCGAGAAUAGUCUACAAUGGCCGGAAGGCUGAUAGUGCGACGCCGCGUGAACGAGGGAGCCCUUCGGGGUGUAAGUUACUUUUCUUAUACGAGCAGUGCUAUAUAUAUGAUAGUAUAUAUAGAGGGAUAGUAGUAUAGGAAUAAGACAACGGCUAACUACCG